UACAGAGGGGGCAAGCGUUGUUCGGAAUUACUGGGCGUAAAGGGCGCGUAGGCGGCCUUCUAAGUCGGACGUGAAAUCCCCGGGCUCAACCCGGGAACUGCGUCCGAUACUGGAAGGCUUGAAUUCGGGAGAGGGAUGCGGAAUUCCAGGUGUAGCGGUGAAAUGCGUAGAUAUCUGGAGGAACACCGGUGGCGAAGGCGGCACCCUGGACCGGCACUGACGCUGAGGCGCGAAAGCCAGGGGAGCAAACGGG
RNAcentral lists this ribosomal RNA (253 nucleotides) under uncultured bacterium. RNAcentral describes it as "partial 16S ribosomal RNA". It matches the Rfam family "Bacterial small subunit ribosomal RNA", at positions 524 to 776 of the family's 1533-position model. The record is from RNAcentral.